AGUAACGCGUGAGUAACCUGCCUUUCAGAGGGGGAGUAACGUUCUGAAAAGAAACGCUAAUACCGCAUAAGAUUGUAGUUUCGCAUGGAGCAGCAAUCAAAGGAGCAAUCCGCUGAAAGAUGGACUCGCGUCCGAUUAGAUAGUUGGCGGGGUAACGGCCCACCAAGUCGACGAUCGGUAGCCGGACUGAGAGGUUGAUCGGCCACAUUGGGACUGAGACACGGCCCAG
Molecule: ribosomal RNA, 229 nt
Filed under: uncultured bacterium
Lineage: Bacteria
Description: partial 16S ribosomal RNA
Rfam family: Bacterial small subunit ribosomal RNA
Source: RNAcentral